CGUUCCCAUCCCGAACACGGUCGUUAAGCUCUCCAGCGCCGAUGGUACUGCGCGGGCAACUGCGUGGGAGAGUAGGUCGCCGCCGAAU
RNAcentral lists this ribosomal RNA (88 nucleotides) under Desulfofustis sp. PB-SRB1. The record is from RNAcentral. Lineage: Bacteria; Pseudomonadati; Thermodesulfobacteriota; Desulfobulbia; Desulfobulbales; Desulfocapsaceae.